GAUGAACGCUGGCGGUCUGCUUAACACAUGCAAGUCGAACGGAAUCCUUAGGGAUUUAGUGGCGGACGGGUGAGUAACACGUAAGAACCUGCCUCUAGGACGGGGACAACAGUUGGAAACGACUGCUAAACCCGGAUGAGCCGAAAGGUAAAAGAUUAAUCGCCUAGAGAGGGGCUUGCGUCUGAUUAGCUAGUUGGUGAGGUAAGAGCCCACCAAGGCGACGAUCAGUAGCUGGUCUGAGAGGAUGAUCAGCCACACUGGUUCUGAGACACGGCCCAGACUCCUACGGGAGGCAGCAGUGGGGAAUUUUCCGCAAUGGGCGAAAGCCUGACGGAGCAAGACCGCGUGGGGGAGGAAGGUUCUUGGAUUGUCAACCCCUUUUCUCAGGGAAGAACACAAUGACGGUACCUGAGGAAAAAGCAUCGGCUAACUCCGUGCCAGCAGCCGCGGUAAUACGGGGGAUGCAAGCGUUAUCCGGAAUGAUUGGGCGUAAAGAGUCCGUAGGUAGUCAUCCAAGUCUGCUGUUAAAGAGCGAGGCUUAACCUCGUAAAGGCAGUGGAAACUGGAAGACUAGAGUGUAGUAGGGGCAGAGGGAAUUCCUGGUGUAGCGGUGAAAUGCGUAGAGAUCAGGAAGAACACCGGUGGCGAAGGCGCUCUGCUGGGCUAUAACUGACACUGAGGGACGAAAGCUAGGGGAGCGAAUGGGAUUAGAUACCCCAGUAGUCCUAGCGGUAAACGAUGGAAACUAGGUGUGGCCUGUAUCGACCCGGGCCGUGCCGAAGCAAACGCGUUAAGUUUCCCGCCUGGGGAGUACGCACGCAAGUGUGAAACUCAAAGGAAUUGACGGGGGCCCGCACAAGCGGUGGAGUAUGUGGUUUAAUUCGAUGCAACGCGAAGAACCUUACCAGGACUUGACAUCUCUGGAAUCUCCUUGAAAGGGGAGAGUGCCGUAAGGAACCAGAAGACAGGUGCUGCAUGGCUGUCGUCAGCUCGUGUCGUGAGAUGUUGGGUUAAGUCCCGCAACGAGCGCAACCCUCGUCGUUAGUUGCCAUCAUUAAGUUGGGAACUCUAGCGAGACUGCCGGUGACAAACCGGAGGAAGGUGAGGAUGACGUCAAGUCAGCAUGGCCCUUACGUCCUGGGCGACACACGUACUACAAUGCGAGGGACACAGAGCAGCCAACCCGCGAGGGAGAGCGAAUCUCACAAACCCUGGCACAGUUCAGAUUGCAGGCUGCAACUCGCCUGCAUGAAGGAGGAAUCGCUAGUAAUCGCAGGUCAGCAUACUGCGGUGAAUCCGUUCCCGGGCCUUGUACACACCGCCCGUCACACCAUGGAAGUGAGCCACGCCCGAAGUCAUUACUCUAACCCUUUCGGGGGAGGAGGGUGCCGAAGGCGGGGUUGAUGACUGGGGUGAAGUCGUAACAAGGUAGCCGUACCGGAAGG
RNAcentral lists this ribosomal RNA (1445 nucleotides) under Planktothrix agardhii. Its description in RNAcentral is "bacterial SSU rRNA". It matches the Rfam family "Bacterial small subunit ribosomal RNA". The record is from RNAcentral. Lineage: Bacteria; Bacillati; Cyanobacteriota; Cyanophyceae; Oscillatoriales; Microcoleaceae.